AGGACGAACGCUGGCGGCGUGCUUAACACAUGCAAGUCGUACGGUAAGGCCCUUUCGGGGGUACACGAGUGGCGAACGGGUGAGUAACACGUGAGUAACCUGCCCACAACUUUGGGAUAACGCUAGGAAACUGGUGCUAAUACUGGAUAUGUGCUCCUGCUGCAUGGUGGGGGUUGGAAAGCUCCGGCGGUUGUGGAUGGACUCGCGGCCUAUCAGCUUGUUGGUGGGGUAGUGGCCUACCAAGGCGGCGACGGGUAGCUGGUCUGAGAGGACGAUCAGCCACACUGGGACUGAGACACGGCCCAGACUCCUACGGGAGGCAGCAGUGGGGAAUCUUGCGCAAUGGGCGAAAGCCUGACGCAGCAACGCCGCGUGGGGGAUGAAUGCCUUCGGGUUGUAAACCCUUUCAGUGGGAACGAAUUGACGGUACCACAGAAGAAGCCCGGCCAACUACGUGCCAGCAGCCGC
This 468-nucleotide ribosomal RNA is filed under the name uncultured bacterium. RNAcentral's name for it is "SSU rRNA". It matches the Rfam family "Bacterial small subunit ribosomal RNA", at positions 26 to 518 of the family's 1533-position model. The record is from RNAcentral.